Molecule: non-coding RNA, 181 nt
Organism: Nicotiana tabacum (common tobacco)
Lineage: Eukaryota; Viridiplantae; Streptophyta; Magnoliopsida; Solanales; Solanaceae
Source: RefSeq, a predicted model, not a curated record
AGAAGACUUGAAGUAUCUUGAGAAAAUCGAGCUUGAUAUGGAAAAUAAUGGAAGCACUACUAGCAUUGUUUGAUGUAUAGUUGCAACUUGCAUCUUGAGUGGUUCAAGUGCAAUCAUGCCCCGUGCUACUGCUCAACGCCCCGUGCUACUGCUCAAGAGUCAAGACUGUUUGUUGAUGAAU